Molecule: ribosomal RNA, 82 nt
Filed under: Symbiodinium sp. ex Favites complanata
Lineage: Eukaryota; Dinophyceae; Suessiales; Symbiodiniaceae
Description: partial 28S ribosomal RNA
Source: RNAcentral
UAGCAUGAAGUCAGACAAGUGAACCCGCUGAAUUUAAGCAUAUCAAAAAAGCGGAAGGAAAAGGGGGGGGGGGAUGGUGUUA